UUUCCGUAGGUGAACCUGCGGAAGGAUCAUUAUUGAAACUUGAAUCGUAGCAUUGAGAACUGUUUCCGACCUGUUAAAGGGUAUGUGCACGUUCGACGUGUUGCGUUCUAUUCAUCCACCUGUGCACCUUUGUAGACUUGAUUAACUUUCGCUCUCGAGCGGUUAGAAGGGUUGCUUUCGAGCUCCCUUUGUCUAUAAAGUCUAUGUAUAUAUAAUCUCUUGUAUGUUUAGAAUGUCUUGUUUAUGGGACGCAAGUCCUUUAAAUCUUAUACAACUUUCAACAACGGAUCUCUUGGCUCUC
Molecule: unclassified non-coding RNA, 301 nt
Filed under: plant metagenome
Description: partial contains small subunit ribosomal RNA, internal transcribed spacer 1, and 5.8S ribosomal RNA
Source: RNAcentral